UACGAAGGGGCUAGCGUUGCUCGGAAUCACUGGGCGUAAAGCGCACGUAGGCGGCUUUUAAGUCAGAGGUGAAAUCCUGGAGCUCAACUCCAGAACUGCCUUUGAUACUGAGAGGCUUGAGUCCGGGAGAGGUGAGUGGAACUGCGAGUGUAGAGGUGAAAUUCGUAGAUAUUCGCAAGAACACCAGUGGCGAAGGCGGCUCACUGGCCCGGUACUGACGCUGAGGUGCGAAAGCGUGGGGAGCAAACAGGAUAGAA
This 257-nucleotide ribosomal RNA is filed under the name uncultured bacterium. RNAcentral's name for it is "partial 16S ribosomal RNA". It matches the Rfam family "Bacterial small subunit ribosomal RNA", at positions 524 to 782 of the family's 1533-position model. The record is from RNAcentral.